Molecule: ribosomal RNA, 253 nt
Filed under: uncultured bacterium
Lineage: Bacteria
Description: partial 16S ribosomal RNA
Rfam family: Bacterial small subunit ribosomal RNA
Source: RNAcentral
UACGUAGGUGGCAAGCGUUGUUCGGAUUUACUGGGCGUAAAGAGCGCGCAGGCGGUCGAUUUAGUCGCGUGUGAAAGCCCCCGGCUCAACUGGGGAGGGUCACGCGAUACUGAUCGACUCGAAGGCAGGAGAGGGUAGUGGAAUUCCCGGUGUAGUGGUGAAAUGCGUAGAUAUCGGGAGGAACACCAGUGGCGAAGGCGACUACCUGGCCUGUUCUUGACGCUGAGGCGCGAAAGCUAGGGGAGCAAACGGG